Molecule: transfer RNA, 64 nt
Filed under: Bostrichoidea sp. KM-2015
Lineage: Eukaryota; Metazoa; Arthropoda; Insecta; Coleoptera
Also listed under: 1 other name
Description: tRNA-Leu
Source: RNAcentral
UCUAAUAUGGCAGAAUAGUGCGCCGGUCCUAAGAUCCGAUUAUAAAGAUAAACUUUUUUUAGAA